UAUACAUGCAAGUCGAGGGGUAGUGGAGCUUGCNUCCAUGAGACCGGCGCACGGGUGCGUAACGCGUAUGCAACCUACCUUUAUCUGGGGGAUAGCCCGAAGAAAUUCGGAUUAACACCGCANAAAAUCACAGAGCCGCAUGGUUCAAUGAUCAAAUAUUUAUAGGAUAAAGAUGGGCAUGCGUGUCAUUAGUUAGUUGGCGGGGUAACGGCCCACCAAGACCGCGAUGACNAGGGGAUCUGAGAGGAUGACCCCCCACACUGGUACUGAGACACGGACCAGACUCCUACGGGAGGCAGCAGUAAGGAAUAUUGGUCAAUGGAGGCAACUCUGAACCAGCCAUGCCGCGUGCAGGAAGACAGCCCUCUGGGUCGUAAACUGCUUUUAUUCGGGAAUAAACCUACUUACGUGUAAGUAGCUGAAUGUACCGAAGGAAUAAGGAUCGGCUAACUCCGUGCCAGCAGCCGCGGUAAUACGGAGGAUCCAAGCGUUAUCCGGAUUUAUUGGGUUUAAAGGGUGCGUAGGCGGCCUAUUAAGUCAGGGGUGAAAGACGGUAGCUCAACUAUCGCAGUGCCCUUGAUACUGAUGGGCUUGAAUACACUAGAGGUAGGCGGAAUGUGACAAGUAGCGGUGAAAUGCAUAGAUAUGUCACAGAACACCGAU
RNAcentral lists this ribosomal RNA (663 nucleotides) under bacterium 187_oclvp241. RNAcentral's name for it is "bacterial SSU rRNA". It matches the Rfam family "Bacterial small subunit ribosomal RNA", at positions 50 to 713 of the family's 1533-position model. RNAcentral also lists the same sequence under 1 other name. The record is from RNAcentral.